GACGAACGCUGGCGGCGCGCUUAACACAUGCAAGUCGAACGGAGCUGAUAGGAGCUUGCUUUUCUUAGCGUAGUGGCGAACGGGUGAAUCACGCGUGAAUAACCUGCUCUCGAUUGGGGAAGAACAGUUAGAAAGGACUGCUAAUACCCCAUAAGCCCACGAUCCAGCGUCGGAUUGAGGGAGAAUGGUUGAUUGGGUUCAGAAUGGACUCGCGUCCAAUUGGCUAGUUGGUGAAGUAACGGCCCACCAAGGCGACGAGUGGGAGCCGGACCGAGAAGUGGAACGGUCACAUUGGGAAUGAGCCACGGCCGAGACCAGUAGGGAGGGAAGUAGUGGGGGGUACUGCAGAAUGGGGGAGACACUGAUGCAGCGGCGUGGAGUGGAGGAAGAAGGUUUUCGGAUUGUAAACUCCUGUAGUUAGGGACGAGAAUGACGGUAACUAGAAAGAAAGCACCGGCUAACUACGUG
Molecule: ribosomal RNA, 468 nt
Filed under: uncultured bacterium
Lineage: Bacteria
Description: partial 16S ribosomal RNA
Rfam family: Bacterial small subunit ribosomal RNA
Source: RNAcentral